GGCUAAUCGUCCACAUAAAUGUGUGGAUUAACCUCUUCAAAGAUCCCUGGAAGUGGUCUGAUGGGAGCAACUUAUCAUUCUGCGACUGCAUGGGAACACCUUCAGCCUAACUAUCAUGAAGCAAGGAAAUCGAUUCCAGCCACCAAUUGAACAAGUCUACAAGGCCUACAAAGAAGUCUCUUACAAAAGAUCAAUUACGAACAAAUGUGCCUCUCCUAAGCACUUCAUCUAAGGUCCUAGUAGCAUUUCAUUUAACUGUGGUUGCUUCUAUCAAUCAACCAAACGCUACUAAUGUUAUCAACAAUUAAGCAACAACUGCCGGUGAACUGACAUCACCAAAUACCAAAGAUCUUGCAAGUACCUCAAGCACUGACAACUGCGCAAACAACACCACGUGUGUAGUUUUGUGGGCUGAAGUCCCACAAAACUACACACUCCUCAGCUCACUGAAAACAGUCACCUCCAGGAAGCCUGAUAAACCAGGAAAACAUGACAUGGAUUGAAGCCAUGAGUUACUGCAUGGAGCAACAAAGACAUUUAGGAGAAGGUGGCUGAAAAGGCAAAUAACACCACAUCACCCCAUGUUUGGCUAGGCCUGCGCUACACUUAUAACCUUGACAUUAGGUUCUGGACCAGUUCAACUCCUGGCUGUUACUGGAACUGGGCACCAGGACAAGGAUCUGAAAGGAAAUAUGACUGCAGUGUGACAGGUGCCAUUGAGGCCACUGGAGGGCAGCAGUGUGUAGAUUUGCCUGAGACAGAAAAACUGAAUUGUAUCUGCCAUGUAUGUGUUGGAUGAGUGCAGGCCAGUGACACUUCAGAUGACAAAAAUGUUGCAGUUUUCAUAAAUGCUGUAUGGACAAAUAACAAAUUUGUGUUGGUUAUACAAGUUUGCUGUUUCAUAAUAUGUUUGGUGUUAUCACUUCAAGUUUUUGUCAAUUAUAACAUCAAGCUAGUGGACUUCGAUGGAGUUCAACAGAGACAUCAUGGUUAUUUUAAUGCUCAUUUGUGAUGUCAUAUUUCCACCCUUGUUGAAAUACAGCUGCCUUCCUUCCUGCCAAUCUCUAUUGUUGAGAUUGAAUUUCAUUAAAUAUGGAGACCUCAUGUGACGUGUGGGCGUGCACAUUCACAGUCAUGGGCAGCACGAGUAAUAUGAGAACAUUGAUAUGCUCUAUUCCUUUCACUCAGGGGUUACUAUUUGCAUGUUGACCCCUGGGCUGGGCCCCAAAAAACUGUCUUAUUUAGACCACCGGAGUAUGGCCCCCGAUCCAGACAGGCUGCUGCCCUCACUGACCUGACCUUCACUAGCAGCAACGCGGAAGACAUAGCUCACAGAAGCUCACCUACCUGUCUGCACCCUUGAGGUACACGGAGCAUCUAUAACCAUGGGAACUGGAAAUUAUACAACAUAUUCAUUGAUAAAAACUGUAUUUCAUACAGUGACAUAAAUGCAGACAGGUUGUUCCUUCUGAAGAAACAC
Long non-coding RNA from Micropterus dolomieu (smallmouth bass), 1480 nucleotides. RefSeq lists it as uncharacterized. The record is from RefSeq and is a predicted model, not a curated record. NCBI's taxonomy places the organism in Eukaryota, Metazoa, Chordata, Actinopteri, Centrarchiformes, Centrarchidae. The transcript is spliced from 3 exons.